Molecule: long non-coding RNA, 8381 nt
Filed under: Eutrema salsugineum
Lineage: Eukaryota; Viridiplantae; Streptophyta; Magnoliopsida; Brassicales; Brassicaceae
Description: long non-coding RNA (ESAL_LNC000355)
Source: RNAcentral
AGUUGCAUAAAUUAUCGGAUAGUUCUUGUGAUUCAGAAGACGAAUCACUAGAAUUUUCUAUUUCAUUAAUUAAGUAAUCGCUAUCGGUUUCUUCAGAUAUUUCUGAUUCCGAUAUUAAUAAUUUAGUUAAUUUUUCUUGAAUAUCAGGUUGAUCUUGAAAGAUUUCAUUUAUUUUCUUUUUCAUUUUACAUUCUGUAGACUUAUGUCCUGGUCUUUUACAAUUAUAGCACACUAUCUUUUGUUUAUCAUUUGAUUUAUAUUUUUUAUUUUUUGAAUAAUAUUUGUUAGUUGGUUUUUUAUCAAAAUAUUUUUGAUAAUGUUUUGAUUUACUAGCUUUUCUUUGACUAUAUUUUAUUCUUUUAAUUCUAGAGGGAGGAUCUAAUCUAUCAUAACCAUAUUGCUUACAAAAUGAACCCAUAGUUGUUUUAAACUUAAAUUUAUCAUUUCUUUUCUUAUCUUUAUGUUCUUGACAUAUUGCUAAACCUUGUUUUUUAACAAAAGCGAAUAACUGACCGUAUGUAAUUGUGUUCCACGGUAUAGGUUGACCGCCUGAAUAAUCUUUUAAUUUGUUGAUUACUCUUUCUGCGAAAAAAGAUGGUAAUCCUGAGAUAAAUCUUUCUUUCCAGAAAGGUUGAUUACAAUCAUUUCUUUGGAAUAUGUUGGUUACGAAUAUAUCUUUGUACCAUUUAAAAUCUCCUAAUGUUGGACAUCUUAAAUUGGUUAAUACUAUUUUUUUGCUUUCUAAUUCUUCAGUAGGAUUUCCUAUAAAAUGCAUAGUUAAAGUAUUGAUUAAUACUUCUACUGCAUUUUGAUGUUCUAUUUCUUCAUAUAAGCCAUCUUCAUAUUCUACUUUUCUAAUUUCUACGUGAUUAAUUAUUGAAUCUUUGAACAGUAACUUAGAACAACAGUAACCGUGAACAGUAACUUUGAACAGUAACUUUGAAUAGUAAACAAAAUUUCAUAUUUUUUUUGAAAUCGAAAUACAAGGAUUAGAAAUUUGAAUUACAAAGAUAAAUUUAAAACUUGAAACUAAAAAGCUUUUACAAUUUUUAGAGAGAAAGGAGAGCUUUUUAGAGAGAGAGAAUCUGAAUUUUGCUCGUGUCCUUCUCUUUUGUUUUGAGAGCAUAUUUAUAGGAGAAGGUUGUGUAUAGAGUCUUGAUACGUGGAGCUCAUCAGAUGGUGCCGACACUCUUGUGACACGUGUCAUUCAUCUAACGGUGCCGACAGUUUUGAUUACGACAUUGCUUACGUCCUUGCUUACGUCAUCACUAACGUCUUGAUUGCGUCAUAAUUCCUGUGUCUUGAUUUAUUCUUCGAUUUUACAGAGAUAUACUCUGUUUAUUAUUUUUAAACAAUAAAUUUAAAACGUUGAAUAAUCUACGUUAUUUUUAAAUAAUAUACAGAGUCUACUAGAAUAUACUUUGGAAAUCAUAAAUUUAUACAAUCCCACUAUUGGUUUUUUUUUUUUUUUUUUUACAUUUCUAACGGAUCCUGGCCUAAUGGUCCACCAAAUUGGUCAUCGGGAUGAGGAUCGUUUGAAUCUGAGUCAUUUGCUUGCAUAACCUCGUCAUCGUCAUCGUCCGAGGUUUCCAUGUGUUGGCUAAGAGCAGCGAGUAUUUGUUUAAGCUUGUUUUUCUUGGAGGACUUUUUGGAGUUGGAUGAGCCCGUUGAGUUUGUUGGGCUCUGUGGUCUUUUGGUAUUUGGUGAGGAUUUUGGGAUGGAUUGUUGAGUAAAUUGGUCUGGUGUUACGAGGGGUACGGAUUUGGAGACGGCACGGACAGUUGUCGCGACUUCUUUGGUAAUUUGGAAGAAUUUUUGGAUAUUGGCUAAAGAACAGCGGUCUAAAUUAUAUUUAUCCCACCAUUUGAUACAGAAUUCGCGGACAAGGGAAUAUGGCAUAUCUGGUAAAUGAGGUAUGAGGUUAUAGGGCCAUGAACAUAUCCAAGGUAUGCCCAUGUCUAUGUGGAAGUGUAUGUUAGUUAAUGGUAGUAUCGGUGUUUUGGGUGCAUAUUUGGUAUAAAAAGGUAAAGAGGUUUUGGUAAUUUCUGUUGGGUGAAUUUGGUCUGUUGGGCCAAACCAGUGCCACCAUUCAUAGAACAAUCCUGGUAUAGUUUUUGGACAUUUAUGGUCUAAGGAUAUAAACCAUGAAUGGUCAUAUGCUUUUAGGUAAAAAAGACGGAAGAAGGCAUUUUGAUAAUCGACUUAGGUGUAGCGUGGGAUAUGGUAACCUGAAGCUGAGAAGUGGUAGUAUGGUGGUGAAUGAAACCAAGGUCUUGAAUAGAACAAACCCGUAAUAUCUUACAGGUUGAGUAUUUAGGUUCGGAUGUAUGUGGGUAGUGAGUAAUUUCUACAGACUUAGAGUCUACUAGAAUAUACUCAUAAAAAGUACGGUUUUUGAUUAUAUUGUCAGUAGGAUACUGACAGUCUUCAUAAAGAUAUCGACUAACAAAGGUUUUGAGUUGUUGUAGGGUUGUUGGUUUGGUAAAGUUGGUGGUAAUAAGGUGUUCUUUUGGGUUUUAGUAAUGUAAGGGGUUUUUUGAGAAGGUUGAGAAGUUGUUGGAAUAGAUGGUUGACCUUUUUCUGUGGCAACUGCUUUUGAGUAGGAGAGUGGAGGAAAUUCAGCAAGAGCCGAAUAAGAGUUUUGAAUAGAUAGGGGCUUGCCCUGAAGACUUGGUUGACUUUUGAUAUAAUCCGAUGCAGUCAUCGGUCUUUUCUUAUUUGGGUCACUCAUCUUGAUUAUUUAAUUGGUUGCCAGUUUUUCCCUGUAAAUAUUCUCUCGCUAGAAAAUCACGUAAAGAAUUAUUCUCUCCUUUGAUAUAUUUGGAUAUCGAAAUCAAAUACUGAUAAAAUAGCUUGUCAUCUUGCAAAAAUUUGUUUUGAAACUAAAUUUUUUACAUCUUUUUGUAAAAUCUCUUUUGCUGACUUACAGUCAACACGAAGUAAAAAUUUUUUAUUUAUUAAAUCAUCUUGAAAUUUUGAAAUGCAGUUAACUAUAGAAAGGACUUCUUUUUUAACGGUAGAAUAGUUUCUUUGGGGUCCUAUCCAGACUCCUGAAUGGAACCUAACUAUAGACUCUUGGCUAGAUUCCAGAAGUUUUGGUUUAAGGAUUCCUCCAUAACCUAUUUCUGAAGCAUCGGUUUCGACAAUCAUAUCGGCUUCAGGGUUUGGUAUGGAUAGACAAGGGAGAGUUUUGACUUUCUGCUUAAUCUGUUGAACUAAUUGGGUAUGUUUAUGGGUCCAAGGUUAAGGGUUUUCUGUAAUCUUUGAAAUAAAGGUUGAAUGGUUUUCCUAAGGUUUGGUAGGAAAUCGGAAACAUAAUUUAGACAUCCUAAAAAUCUCUGUAAUUGAGUUUUUUCUCUUAAUUCAUUUGGAAAUUUAUCUGCAAAUUCUAUUGCUCUUGAUAUUGGUGUUAUGGUUCCUUGUUAAAUAUUGUGUCCUAAAAAUCUUAUUUUUGUUUGGAAUAAAGACAUUUUUUUGGCAGAUAAGACUAAACCAUGUUUUUUUUACUAUAUUUAAAAAUGUGUUUAAAUGGUUAAUAUGUUGAUCUAUUGAUGUUGAAUAUACUAGUACAUCAUCAAUAUAAACAAUGGUGAAAUUUGAAUAAUUAUUAAAUAUAUCAUUCAUUAUGUGUUGAAAUUCGGAUGGUGCAUUUUUUAAUCCAAAUGGCAUUACGUUCCAUUCAUAAUGACCGAAUGGUACGGUGAAUGCCGUUUUAUAUUUAUCGUGUUCGGCAAUUUGAAUUUGCCAGAAGCCGCUUUUCAUAUCAAAUUUUGAAUAAAUUUUUGCAUUAUAAAGUCGUUUUAAUAAAUGUCUUUUAUUGGAUAUUGGAUACCUAAUCCACUGUAAAACAUCAUUAAGUGGUUUAUAAUUGAUUACUAAUCUGGGUACACCACGUUUCUUUUCGGCUUGAUUAUUUACAUAGAAGGCCGAACAACUCCAUGGGGAUUUGGAUGGCCUUAUUAAUUUUUUAUUUAAUAAAUCUGUUAUUUUUUGUUUACAAUGUUCUAAUAAUUCUUUAUUCAUUUGAAUAGGUCGAGCUUUGGUUGGUAUAUUUUUUUCACUAAAUUCUUUGAUAUAAGGAAGUUCUACGGUAUGUUGUUUUCUUUUUUAAAAGGCGUUUGGUAAUUCUGAACAUACCUGUUUUAAAAGUUCAUUUUCUAUUGAUUUAAUUUUGCUUACUGUAUAAGGGGUUUUAAAUUGUUCUUCUAUUCUUUUGUAAGCUAUUUCAUCUUGUAAAUAUUGUAUAUGAUUUUGUUUUCUUUUAAUUAGAUUAAUAGUUUUUUGAAUAGUAUUUUGUUGUAAAUUUAAAACUUCUUUGGUUUUCAUGGGUGAUAAAAAUUUAAAUAAUAAUUUCGUGCCAACUACUUUCGUGGUUAUUCCUGUUCUGUUACUUUAAAUGGAUAUAUUUGCGUAAAGAAUGGAGUUCCUAAUAUUACUUCUUGUGAAAGAUUUUUGACUAAGAUAAAUUGAUUUUUAAAACAGUAUCCUUGAUUACAUAUUUUUCCACAAGGUAAUUUAUAUUGUACCUUUAAACUACUGCCAUUAGCACUACUUAGGCGUUCAUUAGUUUUCUCAUAAUAUUUUGUUGGUAUAAAUCCUUCACGGAUACAGUUAUAAUCUGCUCAUGUAUCCAUUAGGGCGAUUAUAUUAAUUUUAAAACCAUGUCCUACAUGUAGGGUAAUAUUUGUAUACCAUUUUUGAUAAUUUAUUUUAUUAAUUAUUUGAAUAUAAUCUUCAUUAUCUUCUGUUUUUCUUUGAUUAUUUGUUUCUGAAAUUUGGUUACUUGUAGAUACUUGAGAAUUAUUUCUAUUUUCUAUUAGAGAUAGUCUAGCAUCUACUUGUAGUUGUUUUAAUUCUUGUUGAUUAAUCGUUAGCUGUAGUUCCUUGACUUGAGAUUUUAGUUGUUUGAUUUCAUUUUGAAGUUCUCCUGUAGUUACUUGUUUAAAUAAACUUUGAGUAGGAUAUUUUUCGAAUAUUUUGUUUAAACUAAAAGGUUGUGGAGUAGAUAAUUGAUUUUCUUGAUAAAUUAUUUCUUUUAAUUUUAUUAAAUAUUAUUUUUUAAUUUCUGGAUCAUCUAUUUUAUCUAUUAUAUCAAGUAAGAAUUGUUUAUCAGUUUCUUUUGUUAUUACAUUAAUUGUUUUGCAGUUGCAUAAAUUAUCGGAUAGUUCUUGUGAUUCAGAAGACGAAUCACUAGAAUUUUCUAUUUCAUUAAUUAAGUAAUCGCUAUCGGUUUCUUCAGAUAUUUCUGAUUCCGAUAUUAAUAAUUUAGUUAAUUUUUCUUGAAUAUCAGGUUGAUCUUGAAAGAUUUCAUUUAUUUUCUUUUUCAUUUUACAUUCUGUAGACUUAUGUCCUGGUCUUUUACAAUUAUAGCACACUAUCUUUUGUUUAUCAUUUGAUUUUUAUUUUUUAUUUUUUGAAUAAUAUUUGUUAGUUGGUUUUUUAUCAAAAUCUUUUUGAUAAUGUUUUGAUUUACUAGCUUUUCUUUGACUAUAUUUUAUUCUUUUAAUUCUAGAGGGAGGAUCUAAUCUAUCAUAACCAUAUUGCUUACAAAAUGAACCCAUAGUUGUUUUAAACUUAAAUUUAUGAUUUCUUUUCUUAUCUUUAUGUUCUUGACAUAUUGCUAAACCUUGUUUUUUAACAAAAGCGAAUAACUGACCGUAUGUAAUUGUGUUCCACGGUAUAGGUUGACCGCCUGAAUAAUCUUUUAAUUUGUUGAUUACUCUUUCUGCGAAAAAAGAUGGUAAUCCUGAGAUAAAUCUUUCUUUCCAGAAAUGUUGAUUACAAUCAUUUCUUUGGAAUAUGUUGGUUACGAAUAUAUCUUUGUACCAUUUAAAAUCUCCUAAUGUUGGACAUCUUAAAUUGGUUAAUACUAUUUUUUUGCUUUCUAAUUCUUCAGUAGGAUUUCCUAUAAAAUGCAUAGUUAAAGUAUGGAUUAAUACUUCUACUGCAUUUUGAUGUUCUAUUUCUUCAUACAAGCCAUCUUCAUCUUCUACUUUUCUAAUUUCUACGUGAUUAAUUAUUGAAUCUUGUAUUGGUGUAUCUAAUGCAUUGUCCUACCAAUAUUUUAAAGCUCCAUUAAAACCUGUUACUAGCAUAAUACAUGCUUGUUUAUCAGUAUGACCCCUUGCCUUAAAGGCAAUAGCGGCCAUGCCCAUUUCUUGAAAUAAAUUCAUUAUUUCAUACUCAGAACGUCCAUCAAUGUUCCAUUCGUAUAUUCCUUCACCAGUAUAUACGUUAUGGGAAUAUUUAUGGUGUUCUUCGAAUAAUAGAUCAGGUGGUGUAUGUCUUGAGUAGUAUGGUUUUCUAGAUUUCAUAAUUUUAUUAUUAUUCCUAUAUUUUAUUCGAUUAAUUUCUAAAUUAUCAUUUUCUGAUUGAGUAUCUGUUUGAAUAGAUUCAUUAUCGUUUUCAUCUAUAAUAUUGAUUCCUUUUCCUUUAUCUAGAUUUUCUAAUCUAGUUGACAUUGACUUUAAUAUUUCAUUUUCUGGAAAUUUAAUUUGUCUAUUUAUUGGUUUGAAGAUGGGUGUAGUCACCGACGAAAAAGGGGGUUGAUUAAUAUUACUAUAUUGCUCUAAUUUAUUAUUUUCAUUAAUAUCAAUUUUAUUAUCUAUGCUGUCUAUUUGUUUGGAAAUUGUAUAUAAUAAUUGACUUUGAUAAUUAUUUUGUUGAUAAACUGAUUUUAUAUCCUGCAUAAUUAAUGGUUCUUUAUCAUCUUUAUUAGCUCCAGUUUUAAAAGGUGUAGCUAAUAUUUGUCGGUUAGCCGUAUUUAUUUUUAAAUCGGUUAAAGGGGGAUGAAUUGAUUUAAUUUUAUUACCAUUUACUUGUUCUCAUACUUGGCUUAAGGAUGCACUUGUAUUAAUAGCUUUAAAUGGGUAAUUAAUAUUAUUAGCAAUUGCAUACGUUUCAAACCAUAUAAAAAAUGGAAUAUCUAAUUCUUUUGCUAUCCUGCAAUUGUACCAAUUCUCUCUAAAUUCUUUAACUUCUUGUUUAGAAAAAGUCUUGAAAUACUUUUCUCGUUUUUCUUUAUUUUUUAUAGAAUAAAAGUCUUCUUUUAUAAAUUGCUUAUUUAUUUUGUAUUCCUUUAAGAUGACAUUUAUUGAUUUAAAAUCCGACGGAGUCGGAGAGGUUGGGUACGUUUUUGAUUCGGGUUCAGCUAUAGGUGCUUUAAAUUUUAUAUCUUGUUUAAUGUUUUGAUUUAUACUUUCUGUUUCCGAAUCUGUACUAGAUUGCCUAGUACGAUAUUCGGAAAAAGAAGGUCUUGAUCCUACCGAGGGUCUUGAGUAAUAAGAACUUAUCCUAGGAGGAAGUGGAUCUCUAAAAGAUCCGAAUUGUAAUAAUAUUUUUCCCUCUUGUUGUUCAAUUAUUUUAGAAAUAUUUCUUUGUUCAAAAUUCCUAGGUGGUUGAGUAAUCUCAAUUUUCCAUUGAUCUGGAAUAGUUAUUUCAUUCCAUUUUAAUUGCUUAGGAGCAUAAGUAGCUGCUGGGGUAUCUUUACCAUGAACUGCUAGAAUAGUAGUUUCUCCUUUAUCAUCUUGUAAUAAACAUCUUGGAUUAAAUUCAGAUGUUGAUUGCUUAAAAUAGAUUCGAUAUAGUAAUAAAUAUCCAUGUCUCUCACUUUGAAAUUUCAUUUCUGGUAAAUGGACAUUUAAUACUAGUGAGUUGAGUAUAGUUGGAUCAUGUAGACUAACCUGAAAAUUAGGGGCGCAAUUAAAAUAAAUUGCUCCGUUGCAUAAAUUUGAUUGGACUGCUCCAAGGAGCGAGUCUUCAAAUUUUAAUAAGGUUUUAUCCCUUAAAAGCAUAAGUAUAGGUGAAUCUAUUCCGGUUCUUGAUAAAGGUUUUAAUGCUAUUUGAAUUAAACCGAAAUGAAUAUAAUUAAAUCCUUUUUGUUUAUAUUUAUCUAAAGCUAUUGAUGACAAUAAUUUAAUUUCUUCAAAUUCGUUUUGAAGAGAUAAAGUCUGUUCGUGUUCUUUAAUUGAAUAAGCGGUUUUAAAAUUAAAGGUUCCAAUUUGAUAUGUAUUUUCUGGAUUAACAUCAGGUAGACAAUUUUUUGUAAUAUCUUGAUUAAACGAAGUUAUUUUUGCAUAAUUUCUCUUGAGUUAAUUGUUGUUGCAGAUGUUGAUGCAUGUUUAGAUUUAAACAAUUUUCUAAUUGAGGAUGCCAUGGUUUAUCCUAAGCUUAGACUCAUGCUAGAAAGUUACUAAUCGGGUUCUACUAAAAUACCUUCUAUGGCUUGCCAACGGACUUGCUGCCUCUCUGGGGUCUUACGGCCUGGAACACCAACAGGAUCUAGUAGAGGGAUUGAAGUCUUUCUAGAAGAUCUUUGUUUGAGAUAAAACACGAAAUCCUUAUUUGAAAAUCGUUUAAAAGAAAACAAAACAUCGAGAUGC